UUGGGUUAGUGGCGGACGGGUGAGUAACGCGUGGAUAACCUGCCGUAUACAGGGGGAUAACACUUAGAAAUAGGUGCUAAUACCGCAUAAGCGCACGGUUCCGCAUGGAACAGUGUGAAAAACUCCGGUGGUAUACGAUGGAUCCGCGUCUGAUUAGCCAGUUGGCGGGGUAACGGCCCACCAAAGCGACGAUCAGUAGCCGGCCUGAGAGGGUGAACGGCCACAUUGGGACUGAGACACGGCCCAAACUCCUACGGGAGGCAGCAG
RNAcentral lists this ribosomal RNA (267 nucleotides) under uncultured bacterium. RNAcentral's name for it is "partial 16S ribosomal RNA". It matches the Rfam family "Bacterial small subunit ribosomal RNA", at positions 87 to 354 of the family's 1533-position model. The record is from RNAcentral.